RNAcentral lists this ribosomal RNA (497 nucleotides) under uncultured bacterium. RNAcentral describes it as "partial 16S ribosomal RNA". It matches the Rfam family "Bacterial small subunit ribosomal RNA", at positions 28 to 507 of the family's 1533-position model. The record is from RNAcentral.
GACGAACGCUGGCGGCGUGCCUAAUACAUGCAAGUCGAGCGGAAAGAUGAGGAGUUUGCUCCUUUCACGUUAGCGGCGGACGGGUGAGUAACAUGUGGAUAAUCCACCUAUAAGACGGGGAUCACUUCGGGAAACCGGAGCUAAUCCCGGAUAAUAUCUUGAACCGCAUGGUGCAAUAGUAAAAGACGGCUGUGCUGUCUCUUAUCGAUGGAUCCGGGCGGCAUUAGCUAGUUGGUACGGUAACGGCUUUCCAAGGCAACGAGGCGUAGCCGACCGGAGAGGGUGAUCGGCCGCACGGGAGCUUGAACAGGGACAAGACUCCUGCGGGAGGGAGCAGUAGGGUAUCUUCCGCAAUAGGCGGAAACCUUACGGAGCGGCGCCGCGUGAGAGGUGACGGUCUUCGGAGCGUGAAGCUCGGUUAUUAGGGAAGAACAGAUGUGUAAGUAACUAUGCACGUCUUGACGGUAACUGGUCAGAAAGCCACGGCUAACUACGUG